Molecule: ribosomal RNA, 432 nt
Filed under: Leclercia sp. SS23
Lineage: Bacteria; Pseudomonadati; Pseudomonadota; Gammaproteobacteria; Enterobacterales; Enterobacteriaceae
Description: partial 16S ribosomal RNA
Rfam family: Bacterial small subunit ribosomal RNA (bases 1-375)
Source: RNAcentral
CUUGAAACAAAAAAAAAAAAAGCCCCCACCGACGGCACCCCUUUUCUUUUUUCCCCAGCGGUUAGGCCGGGGACUCAAAGGAGACUGCCGGUGAUAAACUGGAGGAAGGUGGGGAUGACGUCAAGUCAUCAUGGCCCUUACGAGUAGGGCUACACACCUGCUACAAUGGCAUAUACAGAGAGAAGAGACCUCGCGAGAGCACCCGGACCUCACAAAGUAGGUCGUAGUCCGGAUCGGAGUCCGCAACUCGACUCCGUGAAGUCGGAAUCGCUAGAAAUCGUAGAUCAGAAUGCUCCGGUGAAUACGUUCCCGGGCCUUUUUCGAGCCGCCCUCACCCAUGGGAAGGGUGCAAGAGCCCUUUUUAGUCUCACCUUCGGGAGGCGCCACCACUGUUGAUUCAUGACGGGGGAAAUCGUAACCAAGGACCCCCGU